Cucurbita moschata (crookneck pumpkin) is the source of this 444-nucleotide long non-coding RNA. RefSeq lists it as uncharacterized. The transcript is spliced from 2 exons. The record is from RefSeq and is a predicted model, not a curated record. NCBI's taxonomy places the organism in Eukaryota, Viridiplantae, Streptophyta, Magnoliopsida, Cucurbitales, Cucurbitaceae.
AUUAUUAUUAUUAUUUUUAAUUAAAACCUUAUCUAAAAUCUCCAAAGGGCAAAGGGCAAAGGGCAAAUACGACUGAACUCCACAGAAAGUUGAAAGCGAAAAUGGAUGGAUUGCAGCAAUUGGGGGUUCCAUUGAUGGGCAUUGUUGCAGCGGCAGCCAUUACCUUCUACGCCGUAAGCUUUUCUGAGAUUCGAGAGAAAUCAUUCAGAGAUUUGGAUGAAUCUGAGGAUGAGAAUCCAGGGUUUAAGAUGACUGCAAGUUCGAGAGAGAGGCGAGCGAGAAGGAAGGCUGAAAAGGAAGCGAAACGAUGAGAAUUUCUCUCUUACUCUUCUCACUUUUCUUCAUUUUCUUUAAGCUUUCAUUCCUUAUUUUGGUGCCUUAUCUGUAUAUUUUAAGUUAUACACUUGGAGACCACGAUCAACCGGUGUGAGGUUUAAAUUUUUA